GGGAGGGGGGGUUAGCGUUGUUCGGAAUUACUGGGCGUAAAGCGCACGUAGGGCGGACCAGAAAGUUCGGGGGGGGUGAAAUCCCGGGGGCUCAACCCCCGGAACUGCCUCCAAAACUAUUGGUCUAGAGUUCGAGAGAGGUGAGUGGAAUUCCGAGUGUAGAGGUGAAAUUCGUAGAUAUUCGGAGGAACACCAGUGGCGAAGGCGGCUCACUGGCUCGAUACUGACGCUGAGGUGCGAAAGUGUGGGGAGCAAACAGGAUUAGAUACCCUGGUAGUCCACACCGUAAACGAUGAAUGCCAGUCGUCGGGUUGCAUGCAAUUCGGUGACACACCUAACGGAUUAAGCAUUCCGCCUGGGGAGUACGGUCGCAAGAUUA
RNAcentral lists this ribosomal RNA (379 nucleotides) under uncultured organism. RNAcentral describes it as "partial 16S ribosomal RNA". It matches the Rfam family "Bacterial small subunit ribosomal RNA", at positions 524 to 896 of the family's 1533-position model. The record is from RNAcentral.